Molecule: ribosomal RNA, 859 nt
Filed under: Sphyrna zygaena (smooth hammerhead)
Lineage: Eukaryota; Metazoa; Chordata; Chondrichthyes; Carcharhiniformes; Carcharhinidae
Description: partial 16S ribosomal RNA
Rfam family: Bacterial large subunit ribosomal RNA (bases 187-690)
Source: RNAcentral
UCAAAGCUAGCCUACACACCAACUUUAACCAAACCUAAUAAAUCUAAUUAACAUUAUAAUUUUCAACCAAAACAUUCUCAACCUUUUAGUAUGGGUGACAGAACAAUAACUCCAGCGCAAUAGCUUAUGUACCGCAAGGGAAAGCUGAAAAAGAAAUGAAAUAAACCAUUAAAGUACUAAAAAGCAGAGAUUAUACCUCGUACCUUUUGCAUCAUGAUUUAACUAGAAAAAUUAGGCAAAAAGACUUUAAGUCUACCUCCCCGAAACUAAACGAGCUACUCCGAAGCAGCAUUAUAGAGCUAACCCGUCUCUGUGGCAAAAGAGUGGGAAGACUUCCGAGUAGUGGUGAAAAGCCUACCGAGUUUAGUGAUAGCUGGUUACCCAAAAAAAGAACUUCAAUUCUGCAUUAAUUUUUAACUACCUAAACAAGACUUCCUAGUCAAAGGAACUCAUAAGAAUUAAUAGUUAUUUAGAAGAGGUACAGCCCUUCUAAACCAAGAUACAACUUUUUAAGAUGGGAAAUGAUCACAAUUAUCAAGGUUACUCCCUCAGUGGGCCUAAAAGCAGCCACCUGUAAAGCAAGCGUCGCAGCUCCAGCUCAACAACCAAACCUUUAAUUUUGAUAUCUACUCAUUACCCUCUUUAUCCUAUUGGGUUAUUUUAUAAAAAUAUAAAAGAACUUAUGCUAAAAUGAGUAAUAAAGAGAAUAAACCUCUCCCGACACAAGUGUAUGUCAGAAGAAUUAAAUCACUGAUAAUUAAAACGGCCCCAAACUGAGGCCAUUAUAUUAUUUAAACAUUAACCAGAAAACCCUAUUCUUCCACCCGUUAACCCUACACAGGAGUGUCACCAGGAAAGA